GUGCUUGCUUCGGCAACAAACAUACUAAAAUUGGAAUGAUACAGAGAAAAUUAUCAUUGUGUCCUUGCACAAGGAUAAAUGCAAAUUCAUGAAGCAUCCAAUAUUUUU
Molecule: small nuclear RNA, 108 nt
Organism: Choloepus hoffmanni (Hoffmann's two-fingered sloth)
Lineage: Eukaryota; Metazoa; Chordata; Mammalia; Pilosa; Megalonychidae
Source: Ensembl